Molecule: ribosomal RNA, 460 nt
Filed under: uncultured bacterium
Lineage: Bacteria
Description: partial 16S ribosomal RNA
Rfam family: Bacterial small subunit ribosomal RNA
Source: RNAcentral
CCUACGGGAGGCAGCAGUGAGGAAUAUUGGUCAAUGGGUGUACGCCUGAACCCGCCAAGUCGCGUGAGGGAUGAAGGUUCUAUGGAUCGUAAACCUCUUUUCUAAGGGAAUAAAGUGUGGGACGUUUCCUGUUUUGUAUGUACCUUAUGAAUACGGAUCUGCUAACUCCGUGCCAGCAGCCGCGGUAAUAAGUCGGAUCCGAGCGUUCUCCGUAUUUAUUGGGUUGAAAGGGUGCGUAGGCGGCCUUUUACGUCAGCGGUGAAAGUCUGUGGCUCAACCAUAGAAUUGCCGUUGAACCUGGGAGGCUUGAGGAUGUUUGAGGCAGGCGGAAUGGGUGGUGGAGCGGGGAAAUGCUUAGAUAUCACGCAGAACCCCGAUUGCGAAGGCAGCCUGCCAAGCCAUGACUGACGCUGAUGCACGAAAGCGUGGGGAUCAAACAGGAUUAGAUACCCCUGUAGUC